CGCGUAGGCGGCUUGGCAAGUCUGACGUGAAAUGUACCGGUUCAACCGGGGCGCCGUGUCAGAAACUGCCAGGCUUGAGGUCGAGGGAGGAGAGUGGAAUUCCUGGUGUAGCGGUGAAAUGCGUAGAUAUCAGGAGGAACACCCGUGGCGAAGGCGGCUCUCUAUCUCGAAUCUGACGCUGAGGCGCGAAAGCUAGGGGAGCAAAC
This 206-nucleotide ribosomal RNA is filed under the name uncultured bacterium. RNAcentral describes it as "partial 16S ribosomal RNA". It matches the Rfam family "Bacterial small subunit ribosomal RNA", at positions 568 to 773 of the family's 1533-position model. The record is from RNAcentral.